RNAcentral lists this ribosomal RNA (503 nucleotides) under uncultured bacterium. Its description in RNAcentral is "partial 16S ribosomal RNA". It matches the Rfam family "Bacterial small subunit ribosomal RNA", at positions 30 to 523 of the family's 1533-position model. The record is from RNAcentral.
AUUGAACGCUGGCGGCAGGCUUAACACAUGCAAGUCGAGCGGGGUGAUGGUGCUUGCACUAUCACUUAGCGGCGGACGGGUGAGUAAUGCUUAGGAAUCUGCCUAUUAGUGGGGGACAACAUCUCGAAAGGGAUGCUAAUACCGCAUACGUCCUACGGGAGAAAGCAGGGGAUCACUUGUGACCUUGCGCUAAUAGAUGAGCCUAAGUCGGAUUAGCUAGUUGGUGGGGUAAAGGCCUACCAAGGCGACGAUCUGUAGCGGGUCUGAGAGGAUGACCCGCCACAAGGGGACUGAGACACGGCCCAGACUCGUACGGGAGGCAGCAGGGGGAAAUAUGGGAAAAGGGGGGGAACCCUGAUCCAGCCGUGCCGGGUGUGUGAAGAAGGCUUUAUGGUUGUAAAGCACUUUAAGGGAGGGGGAGGCUCUUUUGGUUAAUACCCAGGAGGAGUGAAGGUUACUGGCAGAAUAAGCACCGGCUAACUCGGUGCCAGCAGCCGCCGUAA